CCUACGGGCGGCUGCAGUGGGGAAUAUUGGGCAAUGGGCGCAAGCCUGACCCAGCAACGCCGCGUGAAGGAAGAAGGCUUUCGGGUUGUAAACUUCUUUUCUCAGGGACGAAGCAAGUGACGGUACCUGAGGAAUAAGCCACGGCUAACUACGUGCCAGCAGCCGCGGUAAUACGUAGGUGGCAAGCGUUAUCCGGAUUUACUGGGUGUAAAGGGCGUGUAGGCGGGAUAGCAAGUCAGAUGUGAAAACCAUGGGCUCAACCUGGGGCCUGCAUUUGAAACUGUUUUUCUUGAGUGCUGGAGAGGCAGACGGAAUUCCUAGUGUAGCGGUGAAAUGCGUAGAUAUUAGGAGGAACACCAGUGGCGAAGGCGGUCUGCUGGACAGCAACUGACGCUGAGGCGCGAAAGCGUGGGUAGCAAACAGGAUUAGAUACCCGUGUAGUC
Molecule: ribosomal RNA, 443 nt
Filed under: uncultured bacterium
Lineage: Bacteria
Description: partial 16S ribosomal RNA
Rfam family: Bacterial small subunit ribosomal RNA
Source: RNAcentral